Molecule: ribosomal RNA, 200 nt
Filed under: uncultured eukaryote
Lineage: Eukaryota
Description: partial 18S ribosomal RNA
Rfam family: Eukaryotic small subunit ribosomal RNA
Source: RNAcentral
GCUCCAAUAGCGUAUAUUAAAGUUGUUGCAGUUAAAAAGCUCGUAGUCGAACUUUUGGUGAUAGCUGCUGGUUAGUCUCAUAGACUAUACUAGUAGCUUGAUCCUUUUUCCUGGGACAGCGCCUUUGGUGCGAUUUCAGGUGUUUACUUUGAAGAAAUUAGAGUGUUUAAGGCAGGCAUUUGCUUGAAUACAUUAGCAUG